GGGGGUGUAGCUCAGUAUUAGAGCGCUCGCUUCGCAUGUGAGAGGUCCCGGGUUCGAACCCCGGCACCUCCA
Molecule: transfer RNA, 72 nt
Filed under: Rhipicephalus microplus (southern cattle tick)
Lineage: Eukaryota; Metazoa; Arthropoda; Arachnida; Ixodida; Ixodidae
Description: tRNA-Ala
Rfam family: tRNA
About the family: Transfer RNA (tRNA) molecules are approximately 80 nucleotides in length.
Source: Rfam by way of RNAcentral